AUACGUAGGUGGCAAGCGUUGUCCGGAAUUAUUGGGCGUAAAGCGCGCGCAGGUGGUUCCUUAAGUCUGAUGUGAAAGCCCCCGGCUCAACCGGGGAGGGUCAUUGGAAACUGGGGAACUUGAGUGCAGAAGAGGAUAGUGGAAUUCCAAGUGUAGCGGUGAAAUGCGUAGAGAUUUGGAGGAACACCAGUGGCGAAGGCGACGGUCUGUUCUGUAACGGACACUGAGGCGCGAAAGCGUGGGGAGCAAACAGGAUUAGAUCCCCUGGUAGGCCACGCCGUAAACGAUGAGUGCUAAGUGUUGGGGGGUUUCCGCCCCUCAGUGCUGCAGCUAACGCAUUAAGCACUCCGCCUGGGGAGUACGGUCGCAAGACUGAAACUCAAAUGAAUUGACGGGG
RNAcentral lists this ribosomal RNA (397 nucleotides) under uncultured bacterium. RNAcentral describes it as "partial 16S ribosomal RNA". It matches the Rfam family "Bacterial small subunit ribosomal RNA", at positions 523 to 918 of the family's 1533-position model. The record is from RNAcentral.